Long non-coding RNA from Sapajus apella (tufted capuchin), 279 nucleotides. RefSeq lists it as uncharacterized. NCBI's taxonomy places the organism in Eukaryota, Metazoa, Chordata, Mammalia, Primates, Cebidae. The record is from RefSeq and is a predicted model, not a curated record. The transcript is spliced from 3 exons.
CACUAUAACGAUCAGCAGAUUGGCAAAGUAGUCCAGGUUUACAGGAAGAAAUACGUAAUCUACAUUGAAUGGGUGCGGCGGGAAAAGGCUAAUGGCACAACUGUCCAUGUAGGCAUUCACCCCAGCAAGGUGGUUAUCACUAGACUAAAACUGGACAAAGACAGCAAAAAGAUCCUUGAACGGAAAGCCAAAUCUCACUAAGUAGGAAAGGAAAAGGGCAAAUACAAGGAAGAAACAAUUGAGAAGAUGCAGGAAUAAAGUGCAGAGACAUGAAAGAAU